This 1134-nucleotide long non-coding RNA is filed under the name Lathyrus oleraceus (garden pea). RNAcentral's name for it is "Pisum sativum (pea) long non-coding RNA (PSAT_LNC038831)". Lineage: Eukaryota; Viridiplantae; Streptophyta; Magnoliopsida; Fabales; Fabaceae. The record is from RNAcentral.
GGAAAAAUAGCAUCAUCUACAUAGACAAGCAAAAUGGUGAAUGAAAAUGAAUCUUGUUUUAUGAAUAAUGAAACAUCUGAGUUGUCUUUUAGUUUUUCAUGCCAUAUUCUACUAGUACGUUUCAGUCGACUUCACAAGUUCGCAAACUUGGUUAGACUUUCACAUAUCACUAUCAUUUUAUAUCUCUGAACGUUAACUUUAUAACGCUUCAAACGGGAUGUCGCUUGGAUGCACAGUUACAAAAUUUUGAGGUAAAACGUCAAAGCAUCGCGAAACAAAUUUUUUUGCUAAAGAUACUACAACAACAAUUGAUUGUCACUGGAUGAUAACCGAUUAUCUUCAACUCCCAGGCCAAAAAAUCAUGUUUAUAAAGCAUGAAUGACAACUGAAUGACACCAGGUAGAAGUGAUUGCACAUAGCAAUUUUUUUCCACUUUUUUACACACUGUCAAUCAAUUGUACUGCUAUGUCAAUCAAUUGACUCCCUUCAGUUUUCCAAAAAUUAAACUGCAUCAAUCGAUUGUUUCCCCUGGUCAAUCAGUUAAUAUUCAUCAGUUUUCCAAAUUUUCCAGAUUUCUCUAUUACGGUGAAUUCCUCAAACCCAAACCCUCAAUCGCCAAACAAGUCCUAAUUGAUUCUAUUAAAACAUCUAAAAUCACAUUCUAACAAUGUUAAUGCACCAAACAUCAUCUAAUAUUUAUAAACUACAUCUUCUCUCAUGAAUUCAUCACUCAAAGUCAUACUCCAAAACUCCCAAUUUCUCAUCAAUUCUCAAGAAACACAACAACCACAUAUCAAUAUACACAAUUAUAAAUCAAAAUAUAGCAUAUGAAAACAAUACCAUCGUCAUAUAUUCAUCAAUAUUCAUCAAGGUAAGAACAAACCCUAUUAGAGGUUAAGGGAACCUCUCCACCCUUUCAUGAUUUAGCAUCCAUAGAUGAAUAAUUUAUCCCCCAUUACCUUAGAUUUCAGAAUUUCCAGCAAAAGCAAGGUGAAUUGGUGUUAUUCCCUCAAGCUCUAGCACUUCUCUUCAAGUUUUCUCUCCAAAACCUUAUAUAUUCCAUGUACUGAUAGAAUGAGUUAUUUCUCUCUAAUUUUAUAUUUUAUAAAUAAUUAACUAUCUCUCUCUAAUUAC